UGGGGAAUAUUGCACAAUGGGCGCAAGCCUGAUGCAGCCAUGCCGCGUGUAUGAAGAAGGCCUUCGGGUUGUAAAGUACUUUCAGUCGGGAGGAAGGUGGUAAGGUUAAUAACCUUAUCAAUUGACGUUACCGACAGAAGAAGCACCGGCUAACUCCGUGCCAGCAGCCGCGGUAAUACGGAGGGUGCAAGCGUUAAUCGGAAUUACUGGGCGUAAAGCGCACGCAGGCGGUCUGUCAAGUCGGAUGUGAAAUCCCCGGGCUCAACCUGGGAACUGCAUUCGAAACUGGCAGGCUAGAGUCUUGUAGAGGGGGGUAGAAGUCCAGGUGUAGCGGUGAAAUGCGGAGAGAUCUGGAGGAAUACCGGUGGCGAAGGCGGCCCCCUGGACGAAGACUGACGCUCAGGUGCGAAAGCGUGGGGAGCAAACAGG
RNAcentral lists this ribosomal RNA (429 nucleotides) under Chloroflexota bacterium. RNAcentral describes it as "Chloroflexi bacterium partial 16S ribosomal RNA". It matches the Rfam family "Bacterial small subunit ribosomal RNA", at positions 355 to 776 of the family's 1533-position model. The record is from RNAcentral. Lineage: Bacteria; Bacillati; Chloroflexota.